AACGAACACUGGCGGCAUGGAUUAGGCAUGCAAGUCGAACGAGAAAGUUCCCUUCGGGGGAUGAGUACAGUGGCGAACGGGUGAGUAACGGGUGGAAAACCUGCCCUUUAAUGGGGGAUAACAGUUCUAACGAGCUGCUAAUACCGCAUAAUACCUUAGGAUCGCAUGGUCUCUAGGUUAAAGGUGGCGACCUCUUCGGAGAGCUGCCGUUAAAGGAUGGUUCCGCCUCCCAUUAGCUUGUUGGUGGGGUAAUGGCCUACCAAGGCGACGAUGGGUAGCCGGCCUGAGAGGGUGUCCGGCCACACUGGGACUGAGAUACGGCCCAGACUCCUACGGGAGGCAGCAGUCGAGAAGCUUCGGCAAUGGGCGAAAGCCUGACCGAGCGAUGCCGCGUGAGCGAAGAAGGUCCUAUGGAUUGUAAAGCUCUGUCAGAUUGGGAAGAAAACCUCAUGGUUAAUACCCGUGAGGCUGACGGUACCAUCAGAGAG
This 488-nucleotide ribosomal RNA is filed under the name uncultured bacterium. RNAcentral's name for it is "bacterial SSU rRNA". It matches the Rfam family "Bacterial small subunit ribosomal RNA", at positions 29 to 488 of the family's 1533-position model. The record is from RNAcentral.